Molecule: non-coding RNA, 2171 nt
Organism: Cinara cedri
Lineage: Eukaryota; Metazoa; Arthropoda; Insecta; Hemiptera; Aphididae
Source: the annotation of a GenBank genome assembly
UAACGCUUGAACUUUUGUACGGAAAUAACAUUAUAUUAUUAUGUCCGUCGAGUUGGCACCGACACAUUAUGCUAGGACUUUACAACUAGUAUCAAUAUUUUACUAGGAAUUUGCUAGAACUCACCCUCACUCACCCUUUACUCAGGGAUGGAGAGUGGCCGGUCUGGAAAUUGGAAUUCUAGUAUCAAAUUUUGACGAAAAUCGUUUUAGUAAAAAUUAAUGACGAACAAAUCUAGUUUUCAGUCGAUAUAAAUUGUUUCAAUAAAUUUAUAUUUUAUGAUUAUAUAAAAAAUAUAUUUCUAAAAAAGCAAUUUUUCUCUCAGAAUCGUUAAUCGUUAGCAAUGUAUAAUCAUUGUUUAAAUUACUCUCUCUAUACCACUUCCUACCAUUCCAACUUCUUGUCGUCCACCCACUGUAUGAAGUAUGUCCGUAUUUUUUUUUAUACUGUUAACUUUUCUAACAGAAUUUUUGCUCCGAUAUACAAAGUUUAUCAUCAAAUUUAAAAAACUGUAUACGUGGUACAUUUUAACCACUAUUAAACAAAUUUAAAUUUGAUCGAUAUAAUAAAGAUAAGUUAAUCAUUAUAUCGUUAUUAUUAUUAUUUGUAAUACCUAGGUACUGACAAUACUGAUCAUCAUACAUCUGUUUUCUAUAUUAGUAUUUAAUCCUUUUGUUUUUAUCAAUACCUAAUACUGAGGUAAAUUUUAUUUGCUUUACAAUCAGUUUAAAAUUUGAAACCUCACCCGAAACCGACAGAGGUCCUAGCAAAAUCCAAAAAUGCCUUAACAAAAUCUAGCAAAUCAAUCUGAAUAUUUUGGCAUAAUUUCUUUUGGACUCAGACAAUGUGCCGGUGCAGCCACAAAGAUAGCACCAGCAUGUUUGUUUGUGGAUUUCCGAAGUUUGUGGGCCAUACCAAAAUCCAAAAAUGACCUAACAAAAUCUAGCAAAUUCUUAGCAAAAUAUUUAUUCUAGUUGUUGAGUCCUAGCAUAAUGUGCCGGUGCCAUUAUAUUAUUCUUACCUUGCACCGGUCGGUCAGCGUCUAGUAGAAGCUCAUUAAAUGGACGACCGUUGCAGCAGUGAUUAAUGACGCAUACGGCCGAAUCUAUUUCGUAUACCUUUUUCGUAGUCAUAUAGAAGCCGCAGAUGGUUGCGCAUUGCAACGAUUGUGGAUUUACGAACGUUAGCGGCCGAUAUAAUUACCUCGGAGUAACUGUUAUAUAUAAAAAUAACGUACAGUUUUUCGGAAUACGCCCUAUCCCAACAAUACCACUUUAUAAUAACUGAAAAAAUAAAACGGGUCGAGUACACUCCAUAUGUAUGCGUACGCAGCUGCUAGCAAUCAUCAAAGAAUUUUAUCUUCAAAUUUUGUAUUUUUAAUUAUUUUUGUAUUUGUUUUUCGCUGUUCAACUGUCUCUUUUUAUCCAUUUUAAUUAUGCGACUAUUUACUGUACACUACCGUUUGGUAAGACCAAGAUAAUAUUAUGAUACUGAGAGAGACUAAAACUCUGAUAAACACAAUAUUAUUACAAAAUAUAUUACAAAUAACGAAAUAUUUAGGUAGGUAAGUACUAUGCAUUUAAUUAAACCGAUAAUUUUUUUCUCAAAUAUUUCACGAAAUUAAAACAAAACAUUAGAUUUGAGCAAUACGUAAUUCUAUUGCGAAUUACUUAACUGUAUUUAUAAUUUUAUACACAAAUAUUUUAUUAUUUAUAAAGUUGUUUACGAUCACUGCCAAGAAAAACAAAACAAAAAAAAAAAAAACAGUUAUGUCUUACGCCUAUGACCUGUAGUAUUGUAUGAAUCUUAACCCCUGAAAAAACUGAUGAAAAUGAAUUGUAAGGGCCUCUUAGAAAAAAAAAUUUUGUAGACGGCCUUUGAAGCAGUAAAGGAUAAUUUGAACCCGGCGAGUGAGCCGAAAGAAAUCAAAGAGCUAUAUAGAAAACGUAUGGAGAAAACGAUAUUUUAAAGCCAAAAUAGGAGGAUUGCGCCAUGCACGGAGAAGUCUAAAACCCCUGCCUUAGCAAUGUUUGAACAGAACAUCCAAUAGGAAAAAACGGAAAGGCCGAAGAUUACGUAGAAUGACGUGGUAACAAAAAAUGUGAACAUUUUAGAAGAUGGAUUUAAGGAUGACUAGAGAAUUGGUUGUAAGAUGGACGACGGUCCUAUAGAG